AUGGGAGGUGAUUUUAAUGCUCGUACAGCUGCAAACUGGGAAGCGCUAGGCAAGGCCAAAUGGUGGGUCAUACCUGAUCACCAGAACUUGGAUUUCUCCCCCCAUAUACAGAGAAAAUCGAAAGAUAAUAGGGUUAACGAAGUGGGAACCCUUCUUUAUCAACUGAUUUUACGUUUGAAUUUGAUAAUUUUAAACGGAAAUUGUCCCCCGGAUAUUCCAGGUGAGUUUACUCAUUUGAGCACACUUACAAAUAGUGUUCUCGAUUAUUUUAUUGUUUCCAGAGAUUUAUUCCCAAAUUUUUCUUAUUUUAAAAUAGAAAACGUCCAAAUGAAUGACCAUCUCCCCUUGAGUGCCAAGCUUUCUCUAGAUUGGAAGUCUAUCAAGCCUAGACACCCCAUAAAUAUGGGAAUAAAUACUGCAGAACAAGUGAGAGGAAUAAAAUGGUCAGUAACUCAAACCCAAAAAUAUAUGGAAUUCUUCCAACAAGAGAAAAUUCAAACUCAUGUUGUUUUAGAUUUAGAUCUGUAUGGGCAUGAACGAAUUAUUAAUUCAUUCUCUUUGCUUACAGAAGAUCUUAUGUCCUUUUUUGCAGUACCAGCCAUCCAAGUAAAUCGGGCCCAUUUUAAGACCGGUGACCCCUGGUUUAAUUUAAAAUGCAAACAAGCUAGACGACAUCUCUGUGCCAUUUACAAUGAAUAUAAAUCUUCUGGUGCCUUAGUAUUACCUAGGAACUACCAGCAAGCAAAAACAGCAUAUAAGCAAGCCCAGAGAAUGGCUAAGCAAGAGUGGCAACAUAAUCGCUGGCAGGCGCUUAUAGUCGCCUCUAGUUCAUGUAGCUCAUGGCUAUUUUGGCAACUGGUUAAUAGAAGAUCAAGGAGAUAUCCCUUAACAAUAAUUCCUGCCCCGGUCUGGGAAUCCUUUUUAAGGAAAUAUUUUGCGUCACCAGAUUCCAAUACCAACGCUCUUGAUGAUGUAUUUGACCAUCUCCCCAUCUGGCCCCCUACUGACCCUGAUGAAAUCUUGAAUUUAAUCUCUAAACUUAAAAUCGGCAAAGCCCCUGGGCCAGAUUUGGUUCCGGCGGAAGCCAUAAAACUACAUUCUGACUGGUGGGCAAAAAUCCUGGCUGUUACUUUCGAUGCUAUUAAUGCAACUGGAAGGGUGCCAAAAAUAUGGAAGGGUGCUAUUAUAAUUCCAAUAUAA
This 1200-nucleotide long non-coding RNA is filed under the name Podarcis muralis (Common wall lizard). Its description in RNAcentral is "lncRNA (ENSPMRG00000021985.1)". The record is from RNAcentral. Lineage: Eukaryota; Metazoa; Chordata; Lepidosauria; Squamata; Lacertidae.